RNAcentral lists this transfer RNA (77 nucleotides) under Rhodospirillales bacterium. Its description in RNAcentral is "tRNA-Pro". It matches the Rfam family "tRNA". Rfam says of the family: Transfer RNA (tRNA) molecules are approximately 80 nucleotides in length. Lineage: Bacteria; Pseudomonadati; Pseudomonadota; Alphaproteobacteria; Rhodospirillales. The record is from RNAcentral.
CGGAGCGUGGCGCAGCCUGGUAGCGCACUACACUGGGGGUGUAGGGGUCGUCGGUUCAAAUCCGGCCGCUCCGACCA